GGGUUGUGAGGUUAAGCGACUAAGCGUACACGGUGGAUGCCCUGGCAGUCAGAGGCGAUGAAGGGCGUGCUAAUCUGCGAUAAGCGCCGGUAAGGUGAUAUGAACCGUUAUAACCGGCGAUACCCGAAUGGGGAAACCCAGUGUGAUUCGUCACACUAUCAUUAACUGAAUCCAUAGGUUAAUGAGGCGAACCGGGGGAACUGAAACAUCUAAGUACCCCGAGGAAAAGAAAUCAACCGAGAUUCCCCCAGUAGCGGCGAGCGAACGGGGAGGAGCCCAGAGCCUGAAUCAGCAUGUGUGUUAGUGGAAGCGUCUGGAAAGGCGCGCGAUACAGGGUGACAGCCCCGUACACAAAAGCGCAUGUGCUGUGAGCUCGAUGAGUAGGGCGGGACACGUGGUAUCCUGUCUGAAUAUGGGGGGACCAUCCUCCAAGGCUAAAUACUCCUGACUGACCGAUAGUGAACCAGUACCGUGAGGGAAAGGCGAAAAGAACCCCGGCGAGGGGAGUGAAAAAGAACCUGAAACCGUGUACGUACAAGCAGUGGGAGCACAGGUUUACCUGUGUGACUGCGUACCUUUUGUAUAAUGGGUCAGCGACUUAUAUUCUGUAGCAAGGUUAACCGUAUAGGGGAGCCGUAGGGAAACCGAGUCUUAAUUGGGCGUUAAGUUGCAGGGUAUAGACCCGAAACCCGGUGAUCUAGCCAUGGGCAGGUUGAAGGUUGGGUAACACUAACUGGAGGACCGAACCGACUAAUGUUGAAAAAUUAGCGGAUGACCUGUGGCUGGGGGUGAAAGGCCAAUCAAACCGGGAGAUAGCUGGUUCUCCCCGAAAGCUAUUUAGGUAGCGCCUCGUGAAUUCAUCUCCGGGGGUAGAGCACUGUUUCGGCUAGGGGGCCAUCCCGGCUUACCAACCCGAUGCAAACUGCGAAUACCGGAGAAUGUUAUCACGGGAGACACACGGCGGGUGCUAACGUCCGUCGUGAAGAGGGAAACAACCCAGACCGCCAGCUAAGGUCCCAAAGUCAUGGUUAAGUGGGAAACGAUGUGGGAAGGCCCAGACAGCCAGGAUGUUGGCUUAGAAGCAGCCAUCAUUUAAAGAAAGCGUAAUAGCUCACUGGUCGAGUCGGCCUGCGCGGAAGAUGUAACGGGGCUAAACCAUGCACCGAAGCUGCGGCAGCGACGCUUAUGCGUUGUUGGGUAGGGGAGCGUUCUGUAAGCCUGUGAAGGUGGCCUGUGAGGGUUGCUGGAGGUAUCAGAAGUGCGAAUGCUGACAUAAGUAACGAUAAAGCGGGUGAAAAGCCCGCUCGCCGGAAGACCAAGGGUUCCUGUCCAACGUUAAUCGGGGCAGGGUGAGUCGACCCCUAAGGCGAGGCCGAAAGGCGUAGUCGAUGGGAAACGGGUUAAUAUUCCCGUACUUGGUGUUACUGCGAAGGGGGGACGGAGAAGGCUAUGUUGGCCGGGCGACGGUUGUCCCGGUUUAAGCGUGUAGGUGUGUGUUCCAGGUAAAUCCGGUUCACUUUAACACUGAGGCGUGACGACGAGGCACUACGGUGCUGAAGCAACAAAUGCCCUGCUUCCAGGAAAAGCCUCUAAGCAUCAGGUAACAUCAAAUCGUACCCCAAACCGACACAGGUGGUCAGGUAGAGAAUACCAAGGCGCUUGAGAGAACUCGGGUGAAGGAACUAGGCAAAAUGGUGCCGUAACUUCGGGAGAAGGCACGCUGACACGUAGGUGAAGUGAUUUACUCAUGGAGCUGAAGUCAGUCGAAGAUACCAGCUGGCUGCAACUGUUUAUUAAAAACACAGCACUGUGCAAACACGAAAGUGGACGUAUACGGUGUGACGCCUGCCCGGUGCCGGAAGGUUAAUUGAUGGGGUCAGCGCAAGCGAAGCUCCUGAUCGAAGCCCCGGUAAACGGCGGCCGUAACUAUAACGGUCCUAAGGUAGCGAAAUUCCUUGUCGGGUAAGUUCCGACCUGCACGAAUGGCGUAAUGAUGGCCAGGCUGUCUCCACCCGAGACUCAGUGAAAUUGAACUCGCUGUGAAGAUGCAGUGUACCCGCGGCAAGACGGAAAGACCCCGUGAACCUUUACUAUAGCUUGACACUGAACAUUGAGCCUUGAUGUGUAGGAUAGGUGGGAGGCUUUGAAGUGUGGACGCCAGUCUGCAUGGAGCCGGCCUUGAAAUACCACCCUUUAAUGUUUGAUGUUCUAACGUGGACCCGUGAUCCGGGUUGCGGACAGUGUCUGGUGGGUAGUUUGACUGGGGCGGUCUCCUCCUAAAGAGUAACGGAGGAGCACGAAGGUUGGCUAAUCCUGGUCGGACAUCAGGAGGUUAGUGCAAUGGCAUAAGCCAGCUUGACUGCGAGCGUGACGGCGCGAGCAGGUGCGAAAGCAGGUCAUAGUGAUCCGGUGGUUCUGAAUGGAAGGGCCAUCGCUCAACGGAUAAAAGGUACUCCGGGGAUAACAGGCUGAUACCGCCCAAGAGUUCAUAUCGACGGCGGUGUUUGGCACCUCGAUGUCGGCUCAUCACAUCCUGGGGCUGAAGUAGGUCCCAAGGGUAUGGCUGUUCGCCAUUUAAAGUGGUACGCGAGCUGGGUUUAGAACGUCGUGAGACAGUUCGGUCCCUAUCUGCCGUGGGCGCUGGAGAACUGAGGGGGGCUGCUCCUAGUACGAGAGGACCGGAGUGGACGCAUCACUGGUGUUCGGGUUGUCAUGCCAAUGGCACUGCCCGGUAGCUAAAUGCGGAAGAGAUAAGUGCUGAAAGCAUCUAAGCACGAAACUUGCCCCGAGAUGAGUUCUCCCUGAGACUUAGAGUCUCCUGAAGGAACGUUGAAGACGACGACGUUGAUAGGCCGGGUGUGUAAGCGCAGCGAUGCGUUGAGCUAACCGGUACUAAUGAACCGUGAGGCUUAACCUUACAACGCCGAAGCUGUU
RNAcentral lists this ribosomal RNA (2934 nucleotides) under Salmonella enterica subsp. enterica serovar Birkenhead. Its description in RNAcentral is "23S ribosomal RNA". It matches the Rfam family "Bacterial large subunit ribosomal RNA". Lineage: Bacteria; Pseudomonadati; Pseudomonadota; Gammaproteobacteria; Enterobacterales; Enterobacteriaceae. The record is from RNAcentral.